Molecule: long non-coding RNA, 1327 nt
Filed under: Olea europaea subsp. europaea
Lineage: Eukaryota; Viridiplantae; Streptophyta; Magnoliopsida; Lamiales; Oleaceae
Source: RNAcentral
CUGGUAUGCAAAAACAGUUUUUUAAUCCCUUUCUGGAUCACUUUUCAGGCUCUACUGCUUCUUUCUUUUCCUUAAAUCUCCUACAUAACGUACUCAGAAAAUAUGAGUACAAAUCCAAUAGUAGGAACACAUCAACAUUAACAUAUAUGAAGCCUUUGUUUGUUUUCUGGAAGCUGUAGUAAGAACAAAAUCCCAAACCCUUGGUUAUAUUCUCCCCAAGGUUAUGUAUUUCCAGACCCACAAACUUAAAGUUCGCAACCAUCCUAUGAGUGAAUUUCACUUUACAUGGCUAAAACCUAGACCAGAAAAUAGUUUUUACAUGAACAGAGUAGAUAAUUUUUCCACAGGUUAUAAAUAGGUUAUAUCAUGAGCAUUAUAGGAGAAAAUGAUCUAGUCAUUUUACCAAGUCCAGCUCGAGACAUUCAUACAAUGGCAAAAAGAUAAACAUAAGAAUAGUGAAAAACUGUUGAACAAAAAGAUAAUCAGAUCAUUUAUACAUUGAAAAGAAAUGUUGUUAAAAAUCUCCGAAGUCAUGCUCAAUUUUGCAGCCAGGGAACAAUUUUAAGAAACCAAUCUUAUGUUCAUCAUAUUUAAAAGGUAAAAGGACAAAAAAGGAGGUCUACAACUUUUCUCCUUAAUUCAUGAAGCAUUAUCCAUUAUCAAAUGUAUUAUGAGUUCCAAAACUUUACACGUAAUCUAUUCACAUUUUGUAAUAUUUGGGUCAAUUCUAAAUAGUGACAUUUGCUAUUUAUAAUCCCUGUUCAAAGCAAAGGCAGGCCAACAUCUCAGCUUAUCGGUGAGAAAGUAACCUUAAAUCCAGCUAUGCAAAACAUUAGAAGUGGAAAAGUACACCAAAUCUUAAAGCCCAAAUAAAGAAACUCAACAGACCUUAUCAAACUCAAUAUGUGGAACAGCCAUUUUCUUCAAUGAAGAAGCCUUCAAGUGGAUGAAAGACUAAUUACUGUAAAAUAAUUUUUUCUAUUACUGUCAUAAUAUCAAUAUCUAUGCACGAUGCUGUGGAAUCAACUCAAUCAAAUAUAAAUAAAAAAGUUGCUUUAUAUCACUUUUGCAUUAACAAACUAAUAGUAUUAAAACUAAAUUCCAUUAUCUUUAUUCACAUAUAUUGAUCCAGGUUGAAGAUUAUCAUGUGCUAGUAUGAUGCUCUGCUCAAUGCCAUCAACAAGGGCAUCAAAGGAUUGGUGCACAAAACCAAAGGACGUUACAAGAUAUACAAAAUAUUGAAGAUAACCCCCUGGGCCGGCAUGGGUAUGAGUGGCACUAAUAGCAACAUUUUUUUUUGCGUAAAGAUUUCCAUACCUAUAAUAGC